GACGAACGCUGGCGGCGUGCUUAACACAUGCAAGUCGAACGGAAAGGCCUGCUUUCCCUUGUGGAUUGCGGGUACUCGAGUGGCGAACGGGUGAGUAACACGUGAGUGAUCUGCUCCCAACUUGGGUAUAAGCCUGGGAAACUGGGUCUAAUUCCCGAUAGGGCUGCAGGGUGGUGUCUGUGGUGGAAAACGAUUUUCUAGUGGUUGGGGAUGAGCUCGCGGCCUAUCAGCUUGUUGGUGGGGUAAUGGUCUACCAAGGCGGCGACGGGUAGCCGGCCUGGGAGGGUGGACGGCCACAGUGGGACUGAGAUACGGCCCAGACGCCUACGGGAGGCAGCAGUGGGGAAUAUGGCGCAGUGGGCGGAAGCCUGAGGCAGCGACGCCGCGUGGGGGAUGACGGCCGUCGGGUUGUAAACUCCUUUCGACCGCGAGGAAGCCACCUGGUUGGAAGGGUGGUGACGGUAGUGGGAGAAGAAGCACCGGCUAACUACGUG
Molecule: ribosomal RNA, 494 nt
Filed under: uncultured bacterium
Lineage: Bacteria
Description: partial 16S ribosomal RNA
Rfam family: Bacterial small subunit ribosomal RNA
Source: RNAcentral